GGAGAGGCGGGAGGCGCCGCCGGGUCUGUUCUGACGGACCCCUCUCGCGGGGCCGGGCCCGCGGCGCGGUCUCCCUUUCGCCCGACGCAUUUCCUCCCGCACCGAGGACGCCGCAGCCGGUCGGGUAGCUGCGCGAGUCGGCCGUGAGGGCGGGCGCCGGCAGUUGGCCGGUGGGGGGGGGGUUGGUUUCCUUCGGGGGGCUCUCUCUCCUCCGCCGGUUGUUAGCCGGCCCGUCCGUGGCGCGACACCCGACCGAGGUCUAAUCGGUUCCCUCCUUCGCGGGGGAACUCGCCGUCCCCUUCCCUUAUUCGCUAAGGGCAGCGGGCGCUCUCUGCAGGCGGUCCGCGGUGCCGCCGCGCCACCCCUCGCGGUGGCCGGCGCUCCGAGGUGGCAGCCUGCGUCCCGCGGCGGGGCACGCGGCUUGCGGCGAGCGGGUCGGUCACCCACCCGACCCGUCUUGAAACACGGACCAAGGAGUCUAACAUGUGCGCGAGUCACGGGGUCUUGAUCAGGCCCAGGGGCGCAAUGAAAGUGAAGGCCGGUCCUCCGCGGCCGGCCGCGUUGGGAUUCCCCCCCCUCCCCCAAAUUCUUGCCGGAGCCGGGGGGGAGGCACCAACGGCCCGCCCUGUCCGAUUCAUCGGUGGGGCGGAGUCCGAGCGCACACGUUGGGACCCGAAAGAUGGUGAACUAUGCCUGGGCAGGACGAAGCCAGAGGAAACUCUGGUGGAGGUCCGUAGCGGUUCUGACGUGCAAAUCGAUCGUCAGACCC
Molecule: ribosomal RNA, 769 nt
Filed under: Mesostalita kratochvili
Lineage: Eukaryota; Metazoa; Arthropoda; Arachnida; Araneae; Dysderidae
Description: partial large subunit ribosomal RNA
Rfam family: Eukaryotic large subunit ribosomal RNA (bases 469-769)
Source: RNAcentral